Long non-coding RNA from Mobula hypostoma (lesser devil ray), 1786 nucleotides. RefSeq lists it as uncharacterized. Lineage: Eukaryota; Metazoa; Chordata; Chondrichthyes; Myliobatiformes; Myliobatidae. The transcript has 5 exons. The record is from RefSeq and is a predicted model, not a curated record.
AGAGAAAGACAUAUGACCCUAAAAUAACCUCAUUCUGCACGUGGUCCAAGAGGCGCACAUGAAAAAGCUGUGGAAGCAAACCAGAUGAAUGACCAUUCACUCCUGGUGAACAAAUGGAGUCCAGCAUUUCUACCCCAUGGAACAGUUAUGGUUGAAAUGACAAUAAAAAGUGACGACUUGAGGUGGUUGGAAUAUUACUUGGGGCUGGAAUCGUCCCCUGCAUUGUUUCGAUGGCAGUGAGAUAUCCCAGAUUGAUUUCUGCUGAUCCCAAUAUUCUAUAUUGGACUGUAGGUUCUUUUGAAGGCCCUGACCUGGAGUUCCACGCUGAAUUCGGUUCUUUGUGGGAAUGGGACCUGUUCGCAGGGUUUCAUGACUGGCUGUUAUCCGACAUGCCAAGGGCGCGGCCUAAGAGUUCAGCUCUCCUUUGGAGACCUAGGAUCUUGGGGCUUUGGAGACGGGCGGAUCGAAGGUCGGUGUCCCAACAUACUGGUGUGUCGUGGGAGCCGGAGGAUCUUUGACUGUGUGCCCAGAGACCUGAGAUCUUUGGUCACAGAGCUCGGAAAAAGCGAUGCAAUGGACUUUUAACAUUGUAAACCGCCGCCCAGGGAGGAGACUCUGGAGUUGGUGUGAGAGAGAAGAGACAUGGUGGGUGCACUGGAAUCCAUGCUGGAUCGGGGGCCAGCCCUCCCAUCGAUGCUGUGCUCCAGUGUUCACAUCCUGGAAGACAAACUGGAUUGCCUUUGCUUACAACUGAACCAGCAUGAGAUGAGGAACUACUGCAUACUUGUUCUUGCAUAAGUGGGUCUAGGGCAACAUCCCAUGCACCACCAAACUUCAGGCCAUGCCAUGUAUUAUUUUCUGUGACUGCCUGUGCUAUCAUAACUAUAUGUGCUAUGUGCUGUAUGUAACUUAUGAACUCUGUUUUUCAUCUUGGCCCUGGGGACUGCUGUUUCAGUUAGCUGUAUAGGUGUGUAUGGUUGGACGUCAAUUAGAUUUGAGCUUGAGCUUGAUUACCAAUGGAAUAAUUGGCAGAUUCUUUGCAAUCUGAAGUAAUGCAGUGAUCAUAACUUCCAGCUCUGCAUCUGGUGAUGAGUGUUCAGUUUGAAACAUCACCUCUGUUUUCCUUUCCAGAAAUGCUAAAUUAUCUGCUGUUUCCACCAUUUGCUGUAUUCAUUAACCCUGAACAAAAAGGUACAGCAACACCUCCACUUCCUAAGAAGAUUGAGCAAGCAAGGCUCCCACCUCCCCAUCUUAACUGUGUUUUAUAGGAGAACCAUUGAGAGCAUCCUGACAAGUUGCAUCUCCAUCUGGUAUGGGAGCAGUCGAGCACUGGAUCUGAAAUCCCUAUAAAGGACUGUGACAACAGAGGAGAGGAUCAUAGGGGUCUCCCUACCAUCCAUCAGGGACAUUUAUCAGGAGCGCUGCAUAUGCAGGGCACUUAGUAUUAUUAAGGAUCCCAGCCAUCCAUCCAGCAACCUCUUUGAUGUUUUACCAUCAGGCUGGAGACUAUGAUGCAUAAAAACAAGAAUGGUCAGAAUGAGAACCAGUUUCUUCCCCCUAGUCAUUAGGCUUCUCAAUUCCCACCCGCAUCGUAUUUGAAGUGUCAUUAGUUCACCUGUCUGUACCUUACAAUAUUUAAUAUUAAUGCACUUCAGUUUGUUAUUUAUGUGUGAUUCAUCUGUAGAUUUUAUCCUUGCCUUCAUAAGUUAUUGUGUGUUACGUAGGGUAUGUGUUUUAUGCCCUGGACUGAAGAAACUUUGUCUUGUUUCUAUAUAUAUUAUAUAUG